Molecule: microRNA, 22 nt
Filed under: Dasypus novemcinctus (nine-banded armadillo)
Lineage: Eukaryota; Metazoa; Chordata; Mammalia; Cingulata; Dasypodidae
Description: Dno-Mir-769_5p (mature (guide))
Source: RNAcentral
GGAGGCCUCUGGGUUCUGAGCU